RNAcentral lists this ribosomal RNA (497 nucleotides) under uncultured bacterium. RNAcentral describes it as "partial 16S ribosomal RNA". It matches the Rfam family "Bacterial small subunit ribosomal RNA", at positions 28 to 507 of the family's 1533-position model. The record is from RNAcentral.
GAUGAACGCUGGCGGCGUGCCUAAUACAUGCAAGUCGAGCGAGCAGACGAGGAGCUUGCUCCUCUGACGUUAGCGGCGGACGGGUGAGUAACACGUGGAUAACCUACCUAUAAGACUGGGAUAACUUCGGGAAACCGGAGCUAAUACCGGAUAAUAUAUUGAACCGCAUGGUUCAAUAGUGAAAGACGGUUUUGCUGUCACUUAUAGAUGGAUCCGCGCCGCAUUAGCUAGUUGGUAAGGUAACGGCUUACCAAGGCGACGAUGCAUAGCCGACCUGAGAGGGUGAUCGGCCACACUGGAGCUGAGACACGGUCCAGACUCCUACGGGAGGCAGCAGUAGGGAAUCUUCCGCAAUGGGCGAAAGCCUGACGGAGCAACGCCGCGUGAGUGAUGAAGGUCUUCGGAUCGUAAAACUCUGUUAUUAGGGAAGAACAAAUGUGUAAGUAACUAUGCACGUCUUGACGGUACCUAAUCAGAAAGCCACGGCUAACUACGUG